Molecule: long non-coding RNA, 1524 nt
Filed under: Hordeum vulgare
Lineage: Eukaryota; Viridiplantae; Streptophyta; Magnoliopsida; Poales; Poaceae
Description: long non-coding RNA (HVUL_LNC013522)
Source: RNAcentral
UGUCUCCCAGGGGAUGACAAUCUGGUUGUGUCCUUCCCGUCAAAAAAAUAAAAUAAAACCUGGCUAUGUCCUUCACUUGGCGCAUAUCGUCCCUGGCGAUGACGAUCUCUUCAUGUUCUCUCACUCUCAUUUUUCGUCUUUCGGAGAUGAUAACUGCUCCUACAAACUUUAGAUGAAGUUAGGGUUUAACUUUGAAUGGUGGGUGGUGGUAAUGGUGGUGGAUCUUUUGCGGAGAUGGGAGUGGAGCUUGGUUAGGGUUUAACUUUGAAUGGUGGGUGGUGGUAAUGGUGGUGGAUCUUUUGCGGAGAUGGGAGUGGAGCUUGGUUAGGGUUUAACUUUGAAUGGUGGGUGGUGGUAAUGGUGGUGGAUCUUGUGCGGAGAUGGGAGUGGAGCUUGGAAGGCGUUAGGAGGUGGUGGACAGAGGGGAGACAAGGUGUAGGGUUAUAUAUGGCCGAAAAAGGGGUUUUUCGGCUUGGUAUAACAAAGCAAUCAACCGAUACAGCUAACGAUAGGUGCUGGGGCAGACAUUACAAUCAUGCCCAAAAAAUUGACAAAAGAAAAAUAAAAGAAAGAAUGCGAGCAGCACCUGAUCAACGAAAGUUGUAGUGUCCCGUAACUGUUGUGUCCACCGGAUAAUUCCACCACACUUCAGUGCCAUCGAAUUGCCGCGUGCCAAGGACACCUUCAAGAAGGACUGCAAUGACGACGACGCUGCUGCCUGGACAAGUCCUAGGAUUUCUCCCGGCACACGGAGGGGAGUGGGGGAGAGGUACAUCUAACGCCCUUCAGGAAGGGAGGGGGCGCCCGCAGGCGUCACCGCACCGGUGUGGCCGGAUCAGAGAGAGAUUUCUCCCGACCCCUCACACCCACCACCUGGAACCAAUUCUUAGCUCAACCAUGCCAAUCACCCACCAACAUGCGCCACCACAGUCACGAGGACAAUACCGUCGUCUCACCAAAGAAAACGCAGCGAGGCCGCUGGACUGAGACACAACCACCGUGGACUGGGACCGGCAAUACCACAAUCGCGUGGGAGGGGAAACCUCCACCGGCUCAAGCGGUAGCAAACCGGACGCAGGAGCAAGGGCAUGCCGGACCGACUGUCUACCCGAGUCCAGAUCGGGCCCGUUAAGCCCCCGCCGUCGCGCUGCAGCAGACGUAGCACAGGAGCCGCCGCCCCCAUCUCCCUUAUCGCGCCAGACCAGCCGGAGACGACCCGCCGGAGACCGAACCGGCCCACCCCGACCCAGAUCUAGGCCCUAAGGGCCCAGAUCUGGGCCAGCAUGGCGCCGCCAUCCGACACCGUCGCCAAGGGGCCGCGCCGCCGCCCGAUCUGCCUCGGGGCACCUCCCACCGAGGACCACCGCCACCGGAGCACGUCGCCCGAGCCGGGAACCGCGACGAGAAAAGGCAGCGGCCCACCACCGUCGGCUUCACAGCGCCACGCGAGCAAGCGCCCGACCACGCCUGCCGACGACAUCGGCGAGAGGGAGGGAGGGAGGGGAGGUUUGGCGGCUGGGGGAG